Molecule: RNA transcript, 1647 nt
Organism: Capsicum annuum
Lineage: Eukaryota; Viridiplantae; Streptophyta; Magnoliopsida; Solanales; Solanaceae
Gene name: 60S ribosomal protein L35a-2
Exons: 4
Source: RefSeq, a predicted model, not a curated record
CCGAUCAUAUAUAUAAAUCUGUUGUGCGCAUUACAACUGGUCUAGGGUUUAGGUUUCUUCUUCUCAGCCGCAGCGCCAACCUCGAGUCGAAAAUGGUGAAGGGACGCCAAGGAGAACGCGUCAGGCUCUACGUUAGAGGAACUGUUCUUGGAUACAAAAGGUCGAAAUCGAACCAGUAUCCCAACACUUCGUUGAUUCAGAUCGAGGGAGUGAACACUAAGGAAGAAGUGGACUGGUACCUUGGGAAGCGUCUCGGGUACAUCUACAAGGCAAAGACAAAGAAGAAUAACUCACACUAUCGUUGCAUUUGGGGUAAAGUUUGUAGGCCUCAUGGAAACAGUGGCGUUGUUAGGGCUAAGUUCAAGUCCAAUUUGCCUCCCAAGUCUAUGGGAGCUAAGGUUAGGGUUUUCAUGUACCCAAGCAAUAUUUAAGGUAACUUCCUUACUUUCUUUGUAUCUUGUGUUUGGAUUUGCCAAGUCAUGGAUUGAUUGAGCUUUGUGCUUGUAUGAUGUUUUCUGUUGUGACUCUAUUUUCCAUGCUAUUGUUCAUUUUGAUUAAUAAAACGUAGUUUAGGCUAUCGAGGCUUGACGAAUAGCCUCAAGAAAUCAUCGUCGAUGUUUAUCUGUUCGCUGUGCCAAUUUGAAGAUACAUUUUGGUAUCUGCCUCAAGUCUUCUCCUUGUCUAGCAUGAAUGUGCUCAAGACAAGAAUGAUGAGAAGGGAUAUAGUUCAAUCAAUGAAAUAUGUUUCAAUCUUUAGUAUGUGUAGUCUUUUGACAUGUUUGUAAAGUUGCCAGCAUUUUAGGAUUAACUGGUAGUAUAAGAUCUUUUGGUUUGAAGCUUGUUGCUGGUAGUUAAUAAUUGUUUACUUGACUCCCUACCUUAGUUAUGACAAACUAAAAUCCUACAUACGGGGAAUGGUUCAUAUUGGUGCUACCUGAUUAUUUCUAGGAUUCUUUAUUUGUGCAACUUCCGUUAAAAGUAGUUCCUAACUCGUGUCAUUUACUGUGAUUUGAAAAGAAACUUCAAAUGUAGAGCCAUUUUUAAUACUAUGUUUGAUCCUGACAGUGUAUAUUGAUUCAUAUGAAUAAUUAAAAUCAUGGAGGUAUAUUUUGCUGCUGAAACAUCAGCGUUGACAACAUUGGCGAAAUCGGAAAUUUUUAUCAGCUGUGUUCGAGAUUUAGUAUGUAUAUAUGGAAAAUAGCUUUUGACCUAUAUAUACAGUAUUUUCUCUAUACAAAUUAACAUCUUACAAUGAAGAGUGUUCAACUAACAACCACCCUUUGAUCCAUGUAGCUCCCCCACUUUUUGACAGGUGCAUAUGCGAAUAAACUUGAACCUACUUAUGCAUAGAGCAGUUAUAUAAAUAUAUGAUAAAUAUAUGUUGGGCAUUUAGAGGUGAUGGAUCUGGAUUGCAGUCGUUGGUUGCUUUAGGUGGCUAUUGUCUGCCACAUCGAUGUUUUCAACGAUGUGGAAUCUUGAACGUAGUUGAGAGUUAAAUCUUGUAAUGUGCUUUGAGGUGUUUAUCAUCUUAUCUGUUAUUUCAAUCAUUUCCGGUUAAUACGAAGACUAGUACAUUAAAUGUGGCUAAUUUUGCUCAUGGAGCAAAGUGACUUUUUUGUUCAACUAUUCAGCUGUCUUUGUUUUCAA